Molecule: long non-coding RNA, 773 nt
Organism: Pongo pygmaeus (Bornean orangutan)
Lineage: Eukaryota; Metazoa; Chordata; Mammalia; Primates; Hominidae
Exons: 4
Source: RefSeq, a predicted model, not a curated record
GCUUUCCGAGGGCAGCGCGCAGCCACAGUGUCCGCUGCGCGUGCUGGGGGACGGCGCCUUACAGGCUGCCCACCUGCCUCCUCAGGGUGGAAGGCGGGGCUUGGGUGUGAGCGUGCUGAAUCAGAACUUUCCUGGAAAGUCGCCACUUGGUGUGGUCAGAGGAUCACUGAACUCCCAGCCACUCUCUUUUACAGAGCCCGCAGAGCGUGGACGGCCACCCAGCCUUCCUGGUUUACAUGAUCAUGGGGAGAGCCUGUCAAAAGCAACUGCACAGACCCUGUGCUUAAGAUGGCAGGAUCGCAAGACAGAGCAACUGGAGCAAGUCCUCAUUAAGAAGAGCCGCCCGAUGCAUUUGGACCGCGAUAUGUUACACCCACGAGAUUUCAGGAUAGGCCGUGGCCUAUCCUCUUCCAGCAGAUACAGAAGAUACUGCAGUUUGCAACUUUGCAGAUGCCAGCAGAGGAAGAAAAACAUGGGAGACUGCUGAUAACCUAAUGUGGAGACUUAAACUUCAGCCAGACAAAGGCGGAAUCUUAAUAUGGAGGGGCCUGGCUCUGCAGGGAGAUCACCUGGGCUGGCUGGAUUUCAAUCCAGUUGCCCAGCAAAAGUUACGACCCGAGCUUUGCCGAUGCUGAGCCUUCUACUCUCAGGGAUUCCAAAGCAUUUGAUAAACUCUUUGUUCCAUUGUUUACUGACUUCCUAGUGCUUGUCUUGUUCUGCAGUUAUUUUUAUUUUUUAGUUUACUUAUGAUCUGCCCCUCUCUCCCAUCUCCC